CUGAACCAGACCAAGUAGCGUGCAGGAUGACGGCCCUAGGGUGUGUAAACUGCUUUUAUGGUGGGGAAUAAAGUGGCGCACGUGUGCGCCAUUGCAUGUACCUCAUGAAUAAGGACCGGCUAAUUCCGUGCCAGCAGCCGCGGUAAUACGGAAGGUCCGGGCGUUAUCCGGAUUUAUUGGGUUUAAAGGGACGUGUAGGCGUGUCUGUUAAGCGUGUUGUGAAAUUUACGGUGCUCCAACAUUUAACUUGCAGUCGCGAACUGUCAGACUUGAGUACACGCAGUCGCAGGCGGAAUUCAUGGUGUAGCGGUGAAAUGCUUAGAUAUCAUGCAGGAACUCCGAUCGCGAAGGCAGCCUGCGGGAGUGUUACUGACGCUUAAGCUCGAAGGUGCGGGUAUCUAACAGGAUCAGAUACCCUGGUACUCCGCACUGUAAACGAUGGAUGCCCGCCGUCGGCGCCCUGCGCCUGCGGCCAAGCGAAAGCAUUAAGCAUCCCACCUGGGGAAUACGCCGGCAACGGUGAA
RNAcentral lists this ribosomal RNA (524 nucleotides) under Prevotella nigrescens. Its description in RNAcentral is "bacterial SSU rRNA". It matches the Rfam family "Bacterial small subunit ribosomal RNA", at positions 382 to 898 of the family's 1533-position model. Lineage: Bacteria; Pseudomonadati; Bacteroidota; Bacteroidia; Bacteroidales; Prevotellaceae. The record is from RNAcentral.